Molecule: ribosomal RNA, 1550 nt
Filed under: Salmonella enterica
Lineage: Bacteria; Pseudomonadati; Pseudomonadota; Gammaproteobacteria; Enterobacterales; Enterobacteriaceae
Description: partial 23S ribosomal RNA
Rfam family: Bacterial large subunit ribosomal RNA
Source: RNAcentral
GAAUGCUGACAUAAGUAACGAUAAAGCGGGUGAAAAGCCCGCUCGCCGGAAGACCAAGGGUUCCUGUCCAACGUUAAUCGGGGCAGGGUGAGUCGACCCCUAAGGCGAGGCCGAAAGGCGUAGUCGAUGGGAAACGGGUUAAUAUUCCCGUACUUGGUGUUACUGCGAAGGGGGGACGGAGAAGGCUAUGUUGGCCGGGCGACGGUUGUCCCGGUUUAAGCGUGUAGGUGUGUGUUCCAGGUAAAUCCGGUUCACUUUAACACUGAGGCGUGACGACGAGGCACUACGGUGCUGAAGCAACAAAUGCCCUGCUUCCAGGAAAAGCCUCUAAGCAUCAGGUAACAUCAAAUCGUACCCCAAACCGACACAGGUGGUCAGGUAGAGAAUACCAAGGCGCUUGAGAGAACUCGGGUGAAGGAACUAGGCAAAAUGGUGCCGUAACUUCGGGAGAAGGCACGCUGACACGUAGGUGAAGUGAUUUACUCAUGGAGCUGAAGUCAGUCGAAGAUACCAGCUGGCUGCAACUGUUUAUUAAAAACACAGCACUGUGCAAACACGAAAGUGGACGUAUACGGUGUGACGCCUGCCCGGUGCCGGAAGGUUAAUUGAUGGGGUCAGCGCAAGCGAAGCUCCUGAUCGAAGCCCCGGUAAACGGCGGCCGUAACUAUAACGGUCCUAAGGUAGCGAAAUUCCUUGUCGGGUAAGUUCCGACCUGCACGAAUGGCGUAAUGAUGGCCAGGCUGUCUCCACCCGAGACUCAGUGAAAUUGAACUCGCUGUGAAGAUGCAGUGUACCCGCGGCAAGACGGAAAGACCCCGUGAACCUUUACUAUAGCUUGACACUGAACAUUGAGCCUUGAUGUGUAGGAUAGGUGGGAGGCUUUGAAGUGUGGACGCCAGUCUGCAUGGAGCCGACCUUGAAAUACCACCCUUUAAUGUUUGAUGUUCUAACGUGGACCCGUGAUCCGGGUUGCGGACAGUGUCUGGUGGGUAGUUUGACUGGGGCGGUCUCCUCCUAAAGAGUAACGGAGGAGCACGAAGGUUGGCUAAUCCUGGUCGGACAUCAGGAGGUUAGUGCAAUGGCAUAAGCCAGCUUGACUGCGAGCGUGACGGCGCGAGCAGGUGCGAAAGCAGGUCAUAGUGAUCCGGUGGUUCUGAAUGGAAGGGCCAUCGCUCAACGGAUAAAAGGUACUCCGGGGAUAACAGGCUGAUACCGCCCAAGAGUUCAUAUCGACGGCGGUGUUUGGCACCUCGAUGUCGGCUCAUCACAUCCUGGGGCUGAAGUAGGUCCCAAGGGUAUGGCUGUUCGCCAUUUAAAGUGGUACGCGAGCUGGGUUUAGAACGUCGUGAGACAGUUCGGUCCCUAUCUGCCGUGGGCGCUGGAGAACUGAGGGGGGCUGCUCCUAGUACGAGAGGACCGGAGUGGACGCAUCACUGGUGUUCGGGUUGUCAUGCCAAUGGCACUGCCCGGUAGCUAAAUGCGGAAGAGAUAAGUGCUGAAAGCAUCUAAGCACGAAACUUGCCCCGAGAUGAGUUCUCCCUGAGACUUAG